GUCAACAAGCAAUCGAUAUUUCAGGAUCAAGGGUGUAACACUCUUUGUAGUAGCGGUCCUUAUAUAUCGUAUUAACAAUCAAAAUAUGGGUGAAAGCCUGACGGAACAAUGCCACGUAGAGGUAGAAGGCCCACGGGUCGUGAACUUCUUUUCCCAAAGAAGAAGCAAUGACGGUAUCUGGGGAAUAAGCAUCGGCUAACUCUAUGCCAGCAGUCGCGAUAAGACAGAGGAUGCAAGCGUUAUCCGAAAUGAUUGGGCAUAAAGCAUCUGUAGUUGGCUUUUUAAGUUCGUCAUCAAAUCCCAGGGCUCAACCCUGGAUAGGGGCUGAAAACUACCAAGCUGGAGUACGGUAGGGGCAGAGGAAAUUUUCAGUGGAGCGGCGAAAUGCAUAGAGAUCAGAAAGAACACCAACGAUGAAAGCACUCUACUGGGCCGACACUGACACUGAGAGACGAAAGCUCGGGGCAAGUGGAUCAUUUAUGAUGAAGAGGAUGAGCUUCAAGAGAAUGAUUUGGAGUUCUUGCAGAGUAGAACCAUGCAGUAUCAGACGUGAGAUAGAUCUUCCAAAGAACAAGGCCUUU
RNAcentral lists this ribosomal RNA (581 nucleotides) under Olea europaea subsp. europaea. RNAcentral's name for it is "Bacterial small subunit ribosomal RNA". It matches the Rfam family "Bacterial small subunit ribosomal RNA", at positions 272 to 839 of the family's 1533-position model. The record is from Rfam by way of RNAcentral. Lineage: Eukaryota; Viridiplantae; Streptophyta; Magnoliopsida; Lamiales; Oleaceae.